AUACGGAGGAUCCGAGCGUUAUCCGGAUUUAUUGGGUUUAAAGGGUGCGCAGGCGGCCAUUUAAGUCAGCGGUUAAAUCGUGGGGCUCAACCCCAUUCUGCCGUUGAUACUGGGUGGCUUGAUUGCGGUCGAGGUUGGCGGAAUUCGUUGUGUAGCGGUGAAAUGCAUAGAUAUGACGAAGAACACCGAUUGCGUAGGCAGCUGACCAGACCGCAAAAUGACGCUCAUGCACGAAAGUGCGGGGAUCGAACAGGAUUAGAUACCCUGGUAGUCCGCACAGUAAACGAUGAAUACUUGUUUUCGGCGAUAUAAUGUCGGAGGCAAAGCGAAAGCGAUAAGUAUUCCACCUGGGGAGUACGCCGGCAACGGUGAAACUCAAAUGAAUUGACGGGG
Molecule: ribosomal RNA, 393 nt
Filed under: uncultured bacterium
Lineage: Bacteria
Description: partial 16S ribosomal RNA
Rfam family: Bacterial small subunit ribosomal RNA
Source: RNAcentral